GUGGGGAAUAUUCCGCAAUGGGCGGCAAGCCUGACGGAGCAACGCCGCGUGAAUGAAGAAGGUUUUCGGAUUGUAAAGUUCUGUCAUUAGGGACGAAGGACCUGUG
This 106-nucleotide ribosomal RNA is filed under the name uncultured bacterium. RNAcentral's name for it is "partial 16S ribosomal RNA". It matches the Rfam family "Bacterial small subunit ribosomal RNA", at positions 354 to 458 of the family's 1533-position model. The record is from RNAcentral.